UAUCACAACCACGAUGACCUGCGGUGCG
This 28-nucleotide small RNA is filed under the name Bombyx mori (domestic silkworm). RNAcentral describes it as "ovarian small RNA-23488". The record is from RNAcentral. Lineage: Eukaryota; Metazoa; Arthropoda; Insecta; Lepidoptera; Bombycidae.